CCAGGAUUAUAAUUUAGUACGCCAGACGCGUGUUUCGUCUACAUAAGACUCAUCAGUGACGCUCAUAUUAAAAUAUUAUAAAGCCAAACGAGUACAAAGUUGAAGAGCAUUGAGGAUCCAACAUUUAUCAUGUUUAUUGACUAGAAUGGCAGAUUUUUACCUGGAGCAUAAUCACAGCAUGCUACAUAACAGAAUAUUAUAUUGAUCCAUAAGCACUUCGUUUCUCAAUAUCCAUGCCACAGUUGAUGUAUAAUCAUUUUUUCAUUUGUAUUUCUUUUUCAAAUACUUUUCUGGAUUUUCUAUAAAUUGCUUUAUUUCUAUUCCAGCUUUGUCUAAAGAUUGAUGGCUUUUCUUCACAAAAAGGUUUCUCUGUCUGUUAAAGUAUUGUGGCAGAUGCUUUUCUCUAAUAUGCAAAAGAAGCCGUUCCAACAUAUUUUGGAUCCGUUCUCCUAUGAGACGCAUUCGCCAUUGAUGGUCCUCUGGAUAGCGGUCACACUCGAGGAACAGAAUGUUGAUCAAGUGAUACGAUGUUAGACCAUCGGUCACCUCUUUCGGACACCAACUCAGCUCACGAAGCCGCUUCAUUAUUCUGAGAGACUUUUUCCGACAUGAUCCAUCCUUAUCAAUGUUUUUUAGAAGUUCUCUUUCACAUGUGGCAAAUGACAGUUUCCAGUAUAGAGGAUCUGUUGUCACUAAAUUUAUUCCGAUAGCAAACAUGUGCUCUACUUUUUCAGAGGACGGCCACUUAGCCCCAGGUAUGGGCCAUCCGAAGUCAGGCUGCCACCUCAUCUCAGACUGAAAUGGUAACUGCACCUUCAGCAUCGGAGCCAUGUCUAUGCUUAUGCUGUCUCCCUCCAGUUGUUUUAUGAUUAUUGUUAUAGCUGGAGAAUCGUUUAGAUUUUGAACAGUGACUUGAUGACUGCAAAUUUGGGCUUUAAUAAUAUGGUCAACAGCAGCACACACUAGAGUUUUAAAUUGUCUUUUCACACUGAUUGGAACUAUAAAAUCGCCCAGUGUAACACAGUUUGGUCCUUUAUUUAAUCCUUCGGGUUUCCAUUUUUGAACCGAAGUGUUAACAAGUAAGGGAAAUUUUAAUAACAUUCUUGGUAGUGAAUUCUGGGAAUGUAUCACCUUUUUCGUCUUUCUGUCAAAGUCAUAGAAUGGUGUUUGAUGUAAAUGUAACCACUGAUGUGUCAUCCCGGUAUCAAACACUACACUGAAGUCAAAUUCAUCUGCUUCGGACACCUUGGUAUACGAAUGGAAACUCCCAAUGCUCUCUUUAUUUAUCGAAAAUCUCUUGUCUGCACUGUGAACGUAUUUCAGAAUUUCUUCAACUAUAAAUCUAACAAGCCAAGAGUUUCUCCUAGUUUCUAUUAAAUCCAUUUGCACAUGUUCGUUGUAAAAAUGAUGAAAUAGUCCAUUUAAAUAUGCCAUAUUCGAAACUCGCGGCUCAAUUUGUGUGUACCUAAAUUGGGCGUACUGAAUUAUGCUAUGUAAAACAUAAUCGGAGUAUUUGUGCAAAACCUUAUGAUCUACGCCCAUAAACUCCAAUUUCGAACUUCCAUCUUGUCGUAGUUGAAUAACAAAUCUUAAACAAUCAUUACCACGUGAUUGCACAUUUAAAAUCACGUAAUUAUGUCUGAUAAUCAUUCGCACACCGUUGUGA
RNAcentral lists this long non-coding RNA (1666 nucleotides) under Mytilus galloprovincialis (Mediterranean mussel). The record is from RNAcentral. Lineage: Eukaryota; Metazoa; Mollusca; Bivalvia; Mytilida; Mytilidae.